UCAUUGGGUUGACACUAAACCUAAAGGCGCAAUGAAAGUGAAGGUUCCGCCUUGUGCGGACCGAGGGAAGAUGGGGCGUGCUCCUGCGCGACCCCCGCAUUCCCGGGGCGUCUCGUUCUCAUUGCGAGUUGAGGCGCACCCAGAGCGUACACGUUGGGACCCGAAAGAUGGUGAACUAUGCCUGGCCAGGACGAAGUCAGGGGAAACCCUGAUGGAGGUCCGUAGCGAUUCUGACGUGCAAAUCGAUCGUCGGAGCUGGGUAUAGGGGCGAAAGACUAAUCGAACCAUCUAGUAGCUGGUUCCCUCCGAAGUUUCCCUCAGGAUAGCUGGUGCUCGAACGAGUCUCAUCCGGUCAAGCGAAUGAUUAGAGGCCUUGGGGCCGAAACGACCUCAACCUAUUCUCAAACUUUAAAUGGGUGAGAUCUCCGGCUUGCUUAAAGCACUGAAGCCGUGAGACCUUUUUGGAUCGGAGUGCCAAGUGGGCCACUUUUGGUAAGCAGAACUGGCGCUGUGGGAUGAACCAAACGCAGAGUUAAGGCGCCCGAAUAGACGCUCAUGGGAAACCAUGAAAGGCGUUGGUUGCUUAAGACAGCAGGACGGUGGCCAUGGAAGUCGGAAUCCGCUAAGGAGUGUGUAACAACUCACCUGCCGAAGCAACUAGCCCUGAAAAUGGAUGGCGCUGAAGCGUCUUGCCUAUACUCUGCCGUCAGCACGGCAAUGAGGGGUGCGCGGUUCGCUUCGGCGUGCCCGCCCCGUGAGGCCCUGACGAGUAGGAGGGUCGCGGCGGUGAGCGCAGAAGGGUCUAGGCGUGAGCCUGCCUGGAGCCGCCGUCGGUGCAGAUCUUGGUGGUAGUAGCAAAUACUCCAGCGAGGCCCUGGAGGACUGACGUGGAGAAGGGUUUCGUGUGAACAGCCGUUGCACACGAGUCAGUCGAUCCUAAGCCCUAGGAGAAAUCCGAUGUCGAUGGGGUCCGAGACUUUGAGUUAGGACCCCAUGGGGCGAAAGGGAAUCCGGUUCCUAUUCCGGAACCCGGCAGCGGAACCGUAAUAAGUCGGGCCCCUCGCAAGAGAAGCUCGUCGGGGUAACCCAAAAGGACCCGGAGACGCCGUCGGGAGAUCGGGGAAGAGUUUUCUUUUCUGCAUGAGCGUUCGAGUUCCCUGGAAUCCUCUAGCAGGGAGAUAGGGUUUGGAACGCGAAGAGCACCGCAGUUGCGGCGGUGUCCCGAUCUUCCCCUCGGACCUUG
This 1243-nucleotide ribosomal RNA is filed under the name Hemimirollia sp. OR646. RNAcentral describes it as "eukaryotic LSU rRNA". It matches the Rfam family "Eukaryotic large subunit ribosomal RNA", at positions 691 to 1807 of the family's 3401-position model. Lineage: Eukaryota; Metazoa; Arthropoda; Insecta; Orthoptera; Tettigoniidae. The record is from RNAcentral.